Molecule: ribosomal RNA, 747 nt
Filed under: uncultured crenarchaeote
Lineage: Archaea; Thermoproteati; Thermoproteota
Description: partial 16S ribosomal RNA
Rfam family: Archaeal small subunit ribosomal RNA
Source: RNAcentral
CAAACACCUCUACACAUAUCACACCGCAAGUGGAUAUAGCCGUAACCCUAAGGCGCUCAGCUUUGAGAGGCUUUGGCCAAGAGUAAAUAUCUUGGAGAAUACGGGGGGGGGAAGACGGGUGCCAGCCGCCGCGGUAACACCCGCGCCACGAGUGGGAGCCGCUAUUUUUGGGCCUAAAGCGUCCGUAGCCUGUCGAGUAAAUUUUUUGGAAAAUUGUUAAGCUCAACUUAACAACAACGUGCAAAAAACACUGCUCGACUUGGGACCGGGGGGAGUCAGAGGUAUUCCUGGGGGAGGGGUAAAAUGCUUUAAUCCCAGGAGGACCGCUUAUGGGGAAGGCUUCUGACCAUAACGGAUCCGACGGUGAGGGACGAAAGCUAGGGGAGCAAUCCGGAUUAGAUCCAUCUUUUAGGCAGGGGAAAAGCUGGACCAAAAACCCAGCUGGGGCAACAUUCACAUAGUGAAGUUCCCCGAACAUCAAAGUUUAGAUCGUUAAUCAUUCUACAAGACCUGAGAUGUUAUUAUAACGCCAAAAAGGUGCUAUUUACCCGAGUAGUCUUAGCAGUAACCUCUGGAGGUUGGGGGUUGUCCAAUCUUAGAGGUGGACAGUUUCUUAGCGAAGGGUUAACUCCCCGCCUGGAAGGACGGCCAAGGUUAAACUUAAAGAAUUGGGGGGAAAGGGCAAUUCCCGGCCCCUAAUUAAUUCCCCUUAUGGGGGCGUUUUCAAUUCCCUGGCGGUUUUUACAA